Myotis brandtii (Brandt's bat) is the source of this 391-nucleotide long non-coding RNA. RefSeq lists it as uncharacterized. The record is from RefSeq and is a predicted model, not a curated record. NCBI's taxonomy places the organism in Eukaryota, Metazoa, Chordata, Mammalia, Chiroptera, Vespertilionidae. The transcript is spliced from 2 exons.
UGAGGCUGGGACGGCCCCGAUGAGGCUGGGACGGCCCCGGUGAUGUUGAGACAGCCCCGGUGAGGCUGAAUCGGCCUAGGUGAGGUCUAGACGGCACCGGUGAGGUCGAGAUGGCCCUGGUGAGGCUGAAUCGGCCCCUGUGAGGCUGAAACAGCCCCGGUGAGGCUGAAUCGGCCUAGGUGAGGUCUAGACGGCACCGGUGAGGUCGAGAUGGCCCUGGUGAGGCUGAAUCGGCCCCUGUGAGGCUGAAACAGCCCCGGUGAGGCUGAAUCGGCCCUGGCGAGGUUGAGACGGCCCAGGUGAGGUUGAGACUGCCUCGGUGAGCUUGCAACAGCCCCAGUGAGGUUGAGGCAGCCCCUGUGAAGCUGAGGUGGCCCCUGUGAGGCUGAGA